UACAGAGGCCUCGAGCGUUAGGCGGAAUCACUGGGCUUAAAGCGUGUGUAGGCGGACUUCUAAGUGCCUUGUGAAAUCCCACGGCUCACCCGUGGAACUGCUGGGCAUACUGGGAGUCUUGAGCCACCUAGGGGCGAGCGGAACAAAUGGUGGAGCGGUGAAAUGCGUAGAUAUCAUUUGGAACGCCAACGGAGAAAGCAGCUCGCUGGGGGUGUGCUGACGCUGAGACACGAAAGCCAGGGGAGCGAACGGG
Molecule: ribosomal RNA, 253 nt
Filed under: uncultured bacterium
Lineage: Bacteria
Description: partial 16S ribosomal RNA
Rfam family: Bacterial small subunit ribosomal RNA
Source: RNAcentral